GACGAACGCUGGCGGCGUGGAUUAGGCAUGCAAGUCGGACGGUAGGGCUUUAUCGUAAGAUAGAGUUUGAGAGUGGCGAACGGGUGAGUAACACGUAGGAAUCUACCCUUAAGACGGGGACAACCCAGGGAAACUUGGGCUAAUACCGGAUGAGAGUGCGAGAGAUUGCAUUUAAAAGGAUGGCGAAAGUUGUCGCUUAGGGAUGAGCCUGCGGUCUAUUAGUUAGUUGGUGAGGUAAGAGCUCACCAAGGCGAUGAUAGAUAGGCGGCCUUAACGGGUGGUCGCCCACACUGGGAUUGAGAUACGGCCCAGACUCCUACGGGAGGCAGCAGUGGGGGAUCUUGCACAAUGGGCGAAAGCCUGAUGCAGCGACGCCGCGUGAGCGAAGAAGGCCUUCGGGUUGUAAAGCUCUGUCUGGAGGGACGAACAAAAUGACGGUACCUCCGGAGGAAGCCACGGCUAACUACGUG
This 470-nucleotide ribosomal RNA is filed under the name uncultured bacterium. RNAcentral describes it as "bacterial SSU rRNA". It matches the Rfam family "Bacterial small subunit ribosomal RNA", at positions 28 to 507 of the family's 1533-position model. The record is from RNAcentral.